RNAcentral lists this ribosomal RNA (160 nucleotides) under uncultured Enterococcus sp. Its description in RNAcentral is "partial 16S ribosomal RNA". It matches the Rfam family "Bacterial small subunit ribosomal RNA", at positions 372 to 524 of the family's 1533-position model. Lineage: Bacteria; Bacillati; Bacillota; Bacilli; Lactobacillales; Enterococcaceae. The record is from RNAcentral.
UGGACGAAAGUCUGACCGAGCAACGCCGCGUGAGUAAAGAAGGUUUUCGGAUCGUAAAACUCUGUUGUUAGAGAAGAACAAGGACGUUAGUAACUGAACGUCCCCUGACGGUAUCUAACCAGAAAGCCACGGCUAACUACGUGCCAGCAGCCGCGGUAAU